This 226-nucleotide ribosomal RNA is filed under the name uncultured bacterium. Its description in RNAcentral is "partial 16S ribosomal RNA". It matches the Rfam family "Bacterial small subunit ribosomal RNA", at positions 15 to 231 of the family's 1533-position model. The record is from RNAcentral.
GAUCUUGCUCAGGAUGAACGCUAGCUACAGGCUUAACACAUGCAAGUCGAGGGGCAGCAUGGUCUUAGCUUGCUAAGGCUGAUGGCGACCGGCGCACGGGUGAGUAACACGUAUCCAACCUGCCGUCUACUCUUGGCCAGCCUUCUGAAAGGAAGAUUAAUCCAGGAUGGGAUCAUGAGUUCACAUGUCCGCAUGAUUAAAGGUAUUUUCCGGUAGACGAUGGGGA